GGGGAAUAUUGGACAAUGGGCGAAAGCCUGAUCCAGCCAUGCCGCGUGUGUGAAGAAGGUCUUCGGAUUGUAAAGCACUUUAAGUUGGGAGGAAGGGUUUCUGGCUAAUAUCCAGGAAUUUUGACGUUACCGACAGAAUAAGCACCGGCUAACUUCGUGCCAGCAGCCGCGGUAAUACGUAGGGUGCGAGCGUUAAUCGGAAUUACUGGGCGUAAAGCGUGCGCAGGCGGUUUCGUAAGACAGAGGUGAAAUCCCCGGGCUCAACCUGGGAACUGCCUUUGUGACUGCGAGGCUAGAGUACGGCAGAGGGGGGUGGAAUUCCACGUGUAGCAGUGAAAUGCGUAGAGAUGUGGAGGAACACCGAUGGCGAAGGCAGCCCCCUGGGCCGAUACUGACGCUCAUGCACGAAAGCGUGGGUAGCAAACA
RNAcentral lists this ribosomal RNA (426 nucleotides) under uncultured beta proteobacterium. RNAcentral's name for it is "bacterial SSU rRNA". It matches the Rfam family "Bacterial small subunit ribosomal RNA", at positions 356 to 774 of the family's 1533-position model. The record is from RNAcentral. Lineage: Bacteria; Pseudomonadati; Pseudomonadota; Betaproteobacteria.